GGUCAGAGUAGAAGCGUUCAGCAUAUAUAGUCGAUUCGACAUAUAUGUGGGUCAUUGCUCAGAAA
Acinetobacter sp. NIPH 298 is the source of this 65-nucleotide non-coding RNA. NCBI's taxonomy places the organism in Bacteria, Pseudomonadati, Pseudomonadota, Gammaproteobacteria, Moraxellales, Moraxellaceae. The record is from Rfam.